AGUGAACGCUGGCGGUAGGCCUAACACAUGCGAGUCGAACGGCAGCACAGUAAGAGCUUGCUCUUACGGGUGGCGAGUGGCGGACGGGUGAGGAAUACAUCGGAAUCUACUUUUUCGUGGGGGAUAACGUAGGGAAACUUACGCUAAUACCGCAUACGACCUACGGGUGAAACCAGGGGAUCUUCGGACCUUGCGCGAUUGAAUGAGCCGAUGUCGGAUUAGCUAGUUGGCGGGGUAAAGGCCCACCAAGGCGACGAUCCGUAGCUGGUCUGAGAGGAUGAUCAGCCACACUGGAACUGAGACACGGUCCAGACUCCUACGGGGGGCAGCAGUGGGGAAUAUUGGACAAUGGGCGCAAGCCUGAUCCAGCCAUACCGCGUGGGUGAAGAAGGCCUUCGGGUUGUAAAGCCCUUUUGUUGGGAAAGAAAAGCAGCAGGUUAAUACCCCGCUGUUCUGACGGUACCCAAAGAAUAAGCACCGGCUAACUUCGUG
RNAcentral lists this ribosomal RNA (492 nucleotides) under uncultured bacterium. RNAcentral describes it as "partial 16S ribosomal RNA". It matches the Rfam family "Bacterial small subunit ribosomal RNA", at positions 29 to 507 of the family's 1533-position model. The record is from RNAcentral.